AGCUGGUCCGAGUGCAGUGGUGUUUGCAAUUAAUUGAUCACAGCCAGUUACAGAUUUCUUUGUUCCUUCUCCAUUCCCACUGCUUCACCUGACUAGAAAA
Bison bison bison is the source of this 100-nucleotide unclassified non-coding RNA. It matches the Rfam family "Y RNA". From Rfam's summary of the family: Y RNAs are components of the Ro ribonucleoprotein particle (Ro RNP), in association with Ro60 and La proteins. NCBI's taxonomy places the organism in Eukaryota, Metazoa, Chordata, Mammalia, Artiodactyla, Bovidae. The record is from Ensembl.